RNAcentral lists this unclassified non-coding RNA (326 nucleotides) under soil metagenome. RNAcentral describes it as "partial contains 5.8S ribosomal RNA, internal transcribed spacer 2, and large subunit ribosomal RNA". The stretch from base 1 to 120 matches the Rfam family "5.8S ribosomal RNA", at positions 35 to 154 of the family's 154-position model. The record is from RNAcentral.
GAUGAAGAACGUAGUGAAACGCGAUAAGUAAUGUGAAUUGCAGAAUUCAGUGAAUCAUCGAAUCUUUGAACGCACAUUGCGCCCCUUGGUAUUCCGAGGGGCAUGCCUGUUCGAGCGUCAUAUUAACCACUCCCGCUUGCGGGGUCUUGGGCUUCGCCUCCGGGCGGGCCUUAAAAUCAGUGGCGGUGCCGUCGGGCUCUACGCGUAGUAAAUUUUCUCGCGAUAGGGUCCCGGUGGAUGCUUGCCAACAACCCCCAACUUCUUAAGGUUGACCUCGGAUCAGGUAGGGAUACCCGCUGAACUUAAGCAUAUCAAUAAGCGGAGGA